AAUAUUGGACGAUGGGGGGAACCCUGAUCCAGCCAUGCCGCGUGUGUGAAGAAGGCCUUUUGGUUGUAAAGCACUUUAAGCGAGGAGGAGGCUACUCUAGUUAAUACCUAGAGAUAGUGGACGUUACUCGCAGAAUAAGCACCGGCUAACUCUGUGCCAGCAGCCGCGGUAAUACAGAGGGUGCAAGGCUUAAUCGGAUUUACUGGGCGUAAAGCUCCCCUAACUGACCAAUUAAGUCAAAGUUGAAAUCCCCGAGGUUAACUUGAGCAUUGCAUUCGAUACUAGUUGUCUAGAGUAUGGGAUAGUAUUCUCCAACUCCCCGUUUCCCUGUGCAAUGCGUAGCUAUCUGGAGUCAUCCCUCUUGCGAAUGCAACCAUCUGUCCUCAUACUGACACUGAGGUGCGAAAGCAUGGGGAGCAAAC
RNAcentral lists this ribosomal RNA (422 nucleotides) under uncultured bacterium. RNAcentral describes it as "partial 16S ribosomal RNA". It matches the Rfam family "Bacterial small subunit ribosomal RNA", at positions 360 to 773 of the family's 1533-position model. The record is from RNAcentral.